This 256-nucleotide ribosomal RNA is filed under the name uncultured bacterium. RNAcentral describes it as "partial 16S ribosomal RNA". It matches the Rfam family "Bacterial small subunit ribosomal RNA", at positions 524 to 776 of the family's 1533-position model. The record is from RNAcentral.
UACGAAGGGGGGCUAGCGUUGCUCGGAAUCACUGGGCGUAAAGGGUGCGUAGGCGGGUCUUUUAAGUCAGGGGUGAAAUCCUGGAGCUCAACUCCAGAACUGCCUUUGAUACUGAGGAUCUUGAGUUCGGGAGAGGUGAGUGGAACUGCGAGUGUAGAGGUGAAAUUCGUAGAUAUUCGCAAGAACACCAGUGGCGAAGGCGGCUCACUGGCCCGAUACUGACGCUGAGGCACGAAAGCGUGGGGGAGCAAACAGG